Molecule: long non-coding RNA, 558 nt
Organism: Cynara cardunculus var. scolymus (artichoke)
Lineage: Eukaryota; Viridiplantae; Streptophyta; Magnoliopsida; Asterales; Asteraceae
Exons: 3
Source: RefSeq, a predicted model, not a curated record
UACAUAAACGAUGGAGGAUGACGAAGGAAUAGGAAGAAGGAGCGGUCGAUUAAAGGCGAAAUUGAUGUUUAAGUUUUCAAAUAAAGAAAGCCAAGCCAUUKACCUAGAAACCGAUGUUGAAGACCAUGUUGAUGUUAUAGCAAUCRAAGAAACAGGUUGGACGGGGAACAUGUGGUGUUUGGAAAAGUGAUCCAAGGCAUGGAUACGGUGUAUGCAAUYGAAGGGGGAGCCGGUACUUACAGCGGAAAACCCAGAAAAAAGGUGKUGAUUGCUGAUUCGGGUGAAAUUCCUAAGGCGGAAUGGGAUGUGGAAUUACAAACCAUAUUGGCAGCUGCUGAAUCAUGAGGAUGAAAAUAGCUAUAGAUUUUACAAAGAUUAUUACAAAUUUGUUCUUGAGGUUUAUAUACAUUCAUCURUAUUCUUGAUGCGUCAUAUGGAGUGUUACAUGAGGGAGCUGCCUUACCGCUAGAAAUCAGGACUAGAUGCGGAUAUUUCGAAUGAUAUGUUAAGCUGGGUUUUUGUAUUUAAGACAUAAAYGUCUGGUAUUUAGCUUAUAUG